AGUGAACGCUGGCGGUAGGCCUAACACAUGCAAGUCGAACGGCAGCACAGUAAGAGCUUGCUCUUACGGGUGGCGAGUGGCGGACGGGUGAGGAAUACAUCGGAAUCUACUUUUUCGUGGGGGAUAACGUAGGGAAACUUACGCUAAUACCGCAUACGACCUACGGGUGAAAGCAGGGGAUCUUCGGACCUUGCGCGAUUGAAUGAGCCGAUGUCGGAUUAGCUAGUUGGCGGGGUAAAGGCCCACCAAGGCGACGAUCCGUAGCUGGUCUGAGAGGAUGAGCAGCCAAAAUGGAACGGAGACACGGUCCAGACGCCUAAGGGAGGCAGCAGGGGGGAAUAUUGGACAAAGGGAGGAAGCCGGAUCCAGCCAUACCGAGGGGGUGAAGAAGGCCUUCGGGUUGUAAAGCCCGUUUGUUGGGAAAGAAAAGCAGCAGGUUAAUACCCCGCUGUUCGGACGGUACCCAAAGAAUAAGCACCGGCUAACUUCGUG
RNAcentral lists this ribosomal RNA (492 nucleotides) under uncultured bacterium. RNAcentral's name for it is "partial 16S ribosomal RNA". It matches the Rfam family "Bacterial small subunit ribosomal RNA", at positions 29 to 507 of the family's 1533-position model. The record is from RNAcentral.